GUGUCAGCCGCCGCGGUAAUACGUAAGGACCGAGCGUUGUCCGGAAUCAUUGGGCGUAAAGGGUACGUAGGCGGGUCAUUAAGUUAGAAGUCAAAGGCUAUAGCUCAACUAUAGUAAGCUUCUAAAACUGGAGACCUUGAGUAAUGGAAGGGAAAGUGGAAUUCCUAGUGUAGCGGUGGAAUGCGCAGAUAUUAGGAGGAAUACCGGUGGCGAAGGCGACUUUCUGGCCAUUAACUGACGCUGAGGCUCGAAAGCGUGGGGAGCAAACAGGAUUAGAAACCCCCGUAGUCC
Molecule: ribosomal RNA, 291 nt
Filed under: uncultured Anaerococcus sp.
Lineage: Bacteria; Bacillati; Bacillota; Tissierellia; Tissierellales; Peptoniphilaceae
Description: partial 16S ribosomal RNA
Rfam family: Bacterial small subunit ribosomal RNA
Source: RNAcentral